AGUGAACGCUGGCGGUAGGCCUAACACAUGCGAGUCGAACGGCAGCACAGUAAGAGCUUGCUCUUACGGGUGGCGAGUGGCGGACGGGUGAGGAAUACAUCGGAAUCUACUUUUUCGUGGGGGAUAACGUAGGGAAACUUACGCUAAUACCGCAUACGACCUACGGGUGAAAGCAGGGGAUCUUCGGACCUUGCGCGAUUGAAUGAGCCGAUGUCGGAUUAGCUAGUUGGCGGGGUAAAGGCCCACCAAGGCGACGAUCCGUAGCUGGUCUGAGAGGAUGAUCAGCAACACUGGAACUGAGACACGGUCCAGACUCCUACGGGAGGCAGCAGUGGGGAAUAUUGGACAAUGGGCGCAAGCCUGAUCCAGCCAUACCGCGUGGGUGAAGAAGGCCUUCGGGUUGUAAAGCCCUUUUGUUGGGAAAGAAAAGCAGCAGGUUAAUACCCCGCUGUUCUGACGGUACCCAAAGAAUAAGCACCGGCUAACUUCGUG
This 492-nucleotide ribosomal RNA is filed under the name uncultured bacterium. Its description in RNAcentral is "partial 16S ribosomal RNA". It matches the Rfam family "Bacterial small subunit ribosomal RNA", at positions 29 to 507 of the family's 1533-position model. The record is from RNAcentral.